GAUGAACGCUGGCGGCGUGCCUAAUACAUGCAAGUAGAACGCUGAAGGAAGGAGCUUGCUCUUCCCGGAUGAGUUGCGAACGGGUGAGUAACGCGUAGGUAACCUUCCUGGUAGCGGGGGAUAACUAUUGGAAACGAUAGCUAAUACCGCAUAACAGUAGAUAUUGCACUGAUAUCUGCUUGAAAGGGGCAAUUGCUCCACUACCAGAUGGACCUGCGUUGUACUUAGCUAGUUGGUGAGGUAACGGCUCACCAAGGCGACGAUACAUAGCCGACCUGAGAGGGUGAUCGGCCACACUGGGACUGAGACACGGCCCAGACUCCUACGGGAGGCAGCAGUAGGGAAUCUUCGGCAAUGGACGGAAGUCUGACCGAGCAACGCCGCGUGAGUGAAGAAGGUUUUCGGAUCGUAAAGCUCUGUUGUAAGAGAAGAACGAGUGUGAGAGUGGAAAGUUCACACUGUGACGGUAUCUACCA
RNAcentral lists this ribosomal RNA (476 nucleotides) under Streptococcus australis. RNAcentral describes it as "bacterial SSU rRNA". It matches the Rfam family "Bacterial small subunit ribosomal RNA", at positions 28 to 485 of the family's 1533-position model. Lineage: Bacteria; Bacillati; Bacillota; Bacilli; Lactobacillales; Streptococcaceae. The record is from RNAcentral.